GCUGUGGCGAAAGAGCAAGUGGACACAAUUUACAAAGAGGCAGACAUGUAUUCGUUGAACCCAAUCGAGUUACAGAUGCGAGGGAUAUACACACAAAAUCUUUUCUCCAUGUUCUAGGUAGAGAUGAAGCUAAAGACUGCUUACGGAUGCGACACUUUUCAAGAUGGAACCUUCAGGAUGUGGUCGCUCCAAGGCAUACGACCAAAGUAUGGGGAUAGGGACUACCAUGUGCAGGCGAACAAGGAUGAAGGGGUAUACUCAUGCACUUGCUGCAAGUUUGAUCACGAUGGGCUAUUAUGCGCACACAUACUACGAGUAAUGGAACAGAUUGGAGUCUACGAGAUACCGAGGAGGUAUAUCCUGGAUAGGUGGACAUGGGAUCCAGAAGAGGAUCUUGUUCAGCCUAAUUACCAACAGCCAACAGUUAAGAAGGGUAUGACAGAAGAAGGAAAAAAAUAUCAUGAGAUAUACAUCUAUUCUGAAUGA
Molecule: ribosomal RNA, 486 nt
Filed under: Triticum aestivum (bread wheat)
Lineage: Eukaryota; Viridiplantae; Streptophyta; Magnoliopsida; Poales; Poaceae
Description: partial small subunit ribosomal RNA
Source: RNAcentral